This 809-nucleotide ribosomal RNA is filed under the name uncultured Spirochaetota bacterium. RNAcentral's name for it is "bacterial SSU rRNA". It matches the Rfam family "Bacterial small subunit ribosomal RNA", at positions 1 to 799 of the family's 1533-position model. The record is from RNAcentral. Lineage: Bacteria; Pseudomonadati; Spirochaetota.
AGGAGAGUUUGAUCCUGGCUCAGAACGAACGCUGGCGGCGCGUCUGUAAGCAUGCAAGUCGAGCGGUAAGGAGGUAGCUUGCUACUUCCCUAGAGCGGCGGACUGGUGAGUAACGCGUGGGUGACGUACCCUUUGGUUGGGGAUAGCCGGUAGAAAUACCGGGUAAUACCGAAUAAGACCUCUGGUAGAAAGAUUAGAGAGGAAAGCGGCUUCGGCCGCGCCGAAGGAACGGCCCGCGUACUAUUAGCUAGUUGGUGAGGUAACGGCCCACCAAGGCGACGAUAGUUAUCCGGCCUAAGAGGGUGAACGGACACAUUGGGACUGAGAUACGGCCCAGACUCCUACGGGAGGCAGCAGCUAAGAAUAUUCCGCAAUGGAGGAAACUCUGACGGAGCGACGCCGCGUGGAUGAUGAAGGCCGGAAGGUUGUAAAAUCCUUUUGAGUGUGAUGAAUAAAGCUUACAGGAAAUGGUAAGAAGAUGACCGUAGCACUUGAAUAAGGGGCGGCUAAUUACGUGCCAGCAGCCGCGGUAACACGUAAGCCCCGAGCGUUGUUCGGAAUUAUUGGGCGUAAAGGGCAUGUAGGCGGUUGUGCAAGCUUGGUGUGAAAUGCCGGGGCUUAACUCCGGCACUGCGUUGAGAACUGCACGACUAGAGUAACUGAGGGGCAGCCGGAAUUCCAGGUGUAGGGGUGAAAUCUGUAGAUAUCUGGAAGAACACCAAUGGCGAAGGCAGGCUACCAGCAGAUUACUGACGCUGAGGUGCGAAGGUGCGGGGAGCAAACAGGAUUAGAUACCCUGGUAGUCCCCU